RNAcentral lists this ribosomal RNA (1343 nucleotides) under uncultured bacterium. RNAcentral describes it as "16S ribosomal RNA". It matches the Rfam family "Bacterial small subunit ribosomal RNA", at positions 28 to 1378 of the family's 1533-position model. The record is from RNAcentral.
GACGAACGCUUGCGGCGUGCUUAACACAUGCAAGUCGAACGGAAAGGCCCUGCUUUUGUGGGGUGCUCGAGUGGCGAACGGGUGAGUAACACGUGAGUAACCUGCCCUUGACUUUGGGAUAACUUCAGGAAACUGGGGCUAAUACCGGAUAGGAGCUCCUGCUGCAUGGUGGGGGUUGGAAAGUUUCGGCGGUUGGGGAUGGACUCGCGGCUUAUCAGCUUGUUGGUGGGGUAGUGGCUUACCAAGGCUUUGACGGGUAGCCGGCCUGAGAGGGUGACCGGCCACAUUGGGACUGAGAUACGGCCCAGACUCCUACGGGAGGCAGCAGCGGGGAAUAUUGCACAAUGGGCGGAAGCCUGAUGCAGCAACGCCGCGUGCGGGAUGACGGCCUUCGGGUUGUAAACCGCUUUCGCCUGUGACGAAGCGUGAGUGACGGUAAUGGGUAAAGAAGCACCGGCUAACUACGUGCCAGCAGCCGCGGUGAUACGUAGGGUGCGAGCGUUGUCCGGAUUUAUUGGGCGUAAAGGGCUCGUAGGUGGUUGAUCGCGUCGGAAGUGUAAUCUUGGGGCUUAACCCUGAGCGUGCUUUCGAUACGGGUUGACUUGAGGAAGGUAGGGGAGAAUGGAAUUCCUGGUGGAGCGGUGGAAUGCGCAGAUAUCAGGAGGAACACCAGUGGCGAAGGCGGUUCUCUGGGCCUUUCCUGACGCUGAGGAGCGAAAGCGUGGGGAGCGAACAGGCUUAGAUACCCUGGUAGUCCACGCUGUAAACGGUGGGUACUAGGUGUGGGGUCCAUUCCACGGGUUCCGUGCCGUAGCUAACGCUUUAAGUACCCCGCCUGGGGAGUACGGCCACAAGGCUAAAACUCAAAGGAAUUGACGGGGCCCCGCACAAGCGGCGGAGCAUGCGGAUUAAUUCGAUGCAACGCGUAGAACCUUACCUGGGUUUGACAUGGAUCGGGAGUGCUCAGAGAUGGGUGUGCCUCCUUUGGGGUCGGUUCACAGGUGGUGCAUGGCUGUCGUCAGCUCGUGUCGUGAGAUGUUGGGUUAAGUCCCGCAACGAGCGCAACCCUUGUUCACUGUUGCCAGCACGUUAUGGUGGGGACUCAGUGGAGACCGCCGGGGUCAACUCGGAGGAAGGUGGGGAUGACGUCAAGUCAUCAUGCCCCUUAUGUCCAGGGCUUCACGCAUGCUACAAUGGCUGGUACAGAGAGUGGCGAGCCUGUGAGGGUGAGCGAAUCUCGGAAAGCCGGUCUCAGUUCGGAUUGGGGUCUGCAACUCGACCUCAUGAAGUCGGAGUCGCUAGUAAUCGCAGAUCAGCAACGCUGCGGUGAAUACGUUCCCGGG